Molecule: ribosomal RNA, 684 nt
Filed under: uncultured bacterium
Lineage: Bacteria
Description: bacterial SSU rRNA
Rfam family: Bacterial small subunit ribosomal RNA
Source: RNAcentral
GAGGAUGAGUUCGCGGCCCAUUAGCUAGUUGGCGGGGUAAAGGCCCACCAAGGCAACGAUGGGUAGCCGGCCUGAGAGGGUGAUCGGCCACAUUGGGACUGAGAUACGGCCCAGACUCCUACGGGAGGCAGCAGUAGGGAAUUUUGCGCAAUGGACGAAAGUCUGACGCAGCAACACCGUGUGAGGGAUGAAGCAUUUCGGUGUGUAAACCUCUGUCGAUGGUGAAUAAUGUUUCGGGGAGUGGAAAGCCUCGGAAUUGAAGGUAGCCAUGAAGGAAGCACCGGCUAACUCUGUGCCAGCAGCCGCGGUAAUACAGGGGGUGCAAGCGUUGUUCGGAAUCACUGGGCGUAAAGGGAGCGUAGGCGGAACUACAAGACAGAGGUUAAAUCUCCGGGCUCAACCUGGAACUUGCCUUUGUGGCUGUGGUUCUUGAGUAUGGUAGAGGUUAGUGGAAUUUCCGGUGUAGCGGUGGAAUGCGUAGAGAUCGGAAAGAACACCAGAGGUGAAGGCGACUAACUGGACCAAUACUGACGCUGAGGCUCGAAAGCGUGGGGAGCAAACAGGAUUAGAUACCCUGGUAGUCCACGCUGUAAACGAUGAACACUAGAUGUCGGGAGGGGUUCCUUCCGGUGUCGUCGCUAACGCAGUAAGUGUUCCGCCUGGGGGAGUACGCUCGCAAGGGUG